AAUAUUGUCUCCCACAGGUUCUGGGAGAUUGAAUCCUGAGGGAAUCUUUGGCUGAUGGUGAUAUUGAGUAUGAGUUCCUGGAGCAGCAUUCUCUAUGCCAGACAGUCAGAACGUGCUUGUCAAGAGAGGUGCAUUGAUUGUGAAAUAGGUGCUAUUCUUACCUGUUGGAGAAAAGCAACAAAUUUGCACAUGAAGUCUCCAAAUAUCCAGCCAGGCAGAGGAUAGAGAGUAGCGGUGAACGGCACACAGCAUAGCAGGAAAAUGAUGUCAGUGGCAGCCAAGUUAGCUGAGGAAUUAAAUAUACGUGUAAUCAACGAUCUGUUUCAGAUGAAUAGGUGAGAUGCAGCUGCCAGAGUGCUCCAAUUUGCAGAACUAUACAUUCUGUCUCUUUUAAAAAUCCGUGGAGUUUUUUCCUCUAACGAUUGUUUGGAGAAGUCAAAAACAUCAGUACCCCAGGAAACUGCAAUACCACCGGCUACAAUUCCUCAGUGAGUCUCACUUCAAUCUCAAAGUUAAUGCCAAAGGAAAAUCUAUUCACCCCAUUAAGGCUAAGCCAUUUCUUCCAGCCUUUCCUAAACUUAUUCAUCAGCAUCUCUACAUGUUCCCCUCUGAAUUCAAUCAAGCUGUUCAUGAUGAGGCUACCAGACUGUUGGAAUAUCUGUGGGACAUGUGCAGCCAGGAUCAUGAAUGCAAUGUGUUGAUGGAUGAGGCGAUUCAGUGCUUUUUUCAUUCUUCUAACUAUUGUGACAUAAUGAUUGGUGAGAAUGUAUGCAAGGAGGAAGGGUGAUUUGAUUUGACCCGAGUGUCAUUAUCAUGCAAACAUCACCAGUAUGCAUGAUAUCAUAGUCCUUUUGUAAAUGCAAUUCACAUGCCACAUUUUUGUUGUAAUAAAUAUAUUUCAGGAAUAAUGUACACAUUCUUAGAGUGUAAAAUAGAAUUUUGCUUCCAUAUCCAAUACAUAGCAAACGCACAUGAGAAGGCAUUUUUGAUAUAAGCCGAAUAAUUUGAAUCAACACCUUUUUGAAGUCGUCUUUAGAGACCAGCUUUAGAAAUGUCUUGGAAAAAAAAUCACAGGUUCGAAAUGUACAGAUGGCAAACACGAAAAAAAAAAACAUCUGUCUGCACAUAAACAUUUUCUUUAUGUCAAUACAUCUAAUUAUGAGUAUUUGAUGUCUAUGAAAUACAGAAGUUUUGAAGUGGAUCAAAACCUUUCAUCAAAGUUAGUUCUUAGGACAACUUAGAUGAACUUUUUUUGAUCCACUUCAAAUGUUGACUACUAUAUUUUACAGACCCUGCUCUUUCUUUUCGGUGGUGAAAAGAGCAUAGCCACUUCAACAUAAUUAUUACCAAGGAUUCGUUCAAAUGGAAAUGUGUUGAUGAUCUCACCAAGCACUUACCUGUGUAAAUCAGACCUUCAGGGAUUGCAAUUCACACAAUGAGCUUCUCUGUCUGCAUCAAUUAAGCCAAGUCUGAAAUGACAUUACUCAAAAUGUCUUGUGUCUCUUGAUGGUAGAUGGGGUUUGAAGAGGCCAUGAAACCUGGUGUGUAAGUACUGAAACAUCCUGUGCUUUCAACAGUGGCAUCCAUUUGAUCACUGUGGCUCAGUGGUUUGUUUUAGUUGAAGAGAUGCUGAUUAUAGAAACUAGAGAGACUAUUUAGAUCCUGAAGUGGAAAAAAUGGCUUGUUUAAAAGCUAAAACCAAGAUGAUUUUUUUUUUUUUUUUUUUUUACAUCUUUUCAUGCUGUUAUUGGUAACCAAGGGAAAUGAUGUUCACGUAUACGGCAGGCUAAAUUAGGCUUCUUUCAGAUUUGUCAAGAGUUAGAUAAUUAGUGUUUAUUUUUAUGUGGUUGAUGAUAAUGUGAUGAAAGCACUGGUAAAAUAGGGGGUGAAAUAAUAGUAAUGUUGUCUCUGAUGUCACAAAGUUCUAUAUUCCCAGAGUUCUCUUCUGUCUGAAAUUACAGGCUUUGGUCCACUCAGUGAUGGGAUUGUAAAAUGGGCAAAAAGAGUAAAAGUAGACAUCCAGAAGCCUUCUUGAAGUGAUAAGACUGACGACAUGGUAUUUAAGGUAUUAAAACAUGGUGAAAAGAAUUUCAGACUUUUUUUUUUUUUCAUUUCUGAAGAAAAUCUGAGUGGUGCCUCAGGAUGGUUGCCAAACUCCUAGUUUAUCCAAACAUAGAAAUUAAUUUACUCACCCUCAUGUCAUUCCAAUGACUGACUUUCUUCUAGGGAAUGCAAAAUUAUUGACUUUACAAUGAAAAUUAUUGACUUUACAAUGAAAAUCAUUGGCGUCCAAAACAAUGUUGUUAAAGGGUUAGUUCAUGCAUAUGGUUAAAUGUGGAUUAGCACUGCAUGGACGUUCAGCUGUCCUUCCUGUCUCCCUGUACCAAUGUCUAGGCUUAGGCAUCUUACAUAUGGACAUUGCAGUCCUCAUGCCUCCCUGGAGCAUGACUAUCGCAUGUUCAUGCAGGUGAGCAGAGACCCUGGGCAUCUUUCUUCUGGUGUUUAUCACAGUCAGUAGAAAAGUCUCUUUAGUGUCUUAAGUUAUUUGA
Molecule: long non-coding RNA, 2549 nt
Organism: Megalobrama amblycephala (Wuchang bream)
Lineage: Eukaryota; Metazoa; Chordata; Actinopteri; Cypriniformes; Xenocyprididae
Exons: 4
Source: RefSeq, a predicted model, not a curated record